GAUGAACGCUGGCGGCGUGCCUAAUACAUGCAAGUCGAGCGAACAGACGAGGAGCUUGCUCCUCUGACGUUAGCGGCGGACGGGUGAGUAACACGUGGAUAACCUACCUAUAAGACUGGGAUAACUUCGGGAAACCGGAGCUAAUACCGGAUAAUAUAUUGAACCGCAUGGUUCAAUAGUGAAAGACGGUUUUGCUGUCACUUAUAGAUGGAUCCGCGCCGCAUUAGCUAGUUGGUAAGGUAACGGCUUACCAAGGCGACGAUGCGUAGCCGACCUGAGAGGGUGGUCGGCCACACUGGAACUGAGGCACGGUCCAGACGCCUACGGGAGGCAGCAGUAGGGAAGCUUCCGCAAUGGGCGGAAGCCUGACGGAGCAACGCCGCGUGAGUGAUGAAGGUCUUCGGAGCGUAAAACUCUGUUAUUAGGGAAGAACAAAUGUGUAAGUAACUAUGCACGUCUUGACGGUACCUAAUCAGAAAGCCACGGCUAACUACGUG
Molecule: ribosomal RNA, 497 nt
Filed under: uncultured bacterium
Lineage: Bacteria
Description: partial 16S ribosomal RNA
Rfam family: Bacterial small subunit ribosomal RNA
Source: RNAcentral